This 276-nucleotide unclassified non-coding RNA is filed under the name uncultured fungus. RNAcentral's name for it is "partial contains small subunit ribosomal RNA, internal transcribed spacer 1, and 5.8S ribosomal RNA". The stretch from base 1 to 73 matches the Rfam family "Eukaryotic small subunit ribosomal RNA", at positions 1759 to 1831 of the family's 1831-position model. The record is from RNAcentral. Lineage: Eukaryota; Fungi.
GCAAACUUGGUCAUUUAGAGGAAGUAAAAGUCGUAACAAGGUUUCCGUAGGUGAACCUGCGGAAGGAUCAUUAUCGAGUCUGGCGCUCCGGCGCCUACUCCCACCACUUGUGUACCUGAACCGUUGCUUUGGCGGACCGGCUCUGCCCCCCGGCAGUCGCUGGGGUGAGUCCGCCAGAGGCCCCAAAAUCCGAUCAACUUGAAUUCUGAGUUGGCACUAAAAAUCAAAACUUUCAACAACGGAUCUCUUGGUUCUGGCAUCGAUGAAGAACGCAGC